This 330-nucleotide ribosomal RNA is filed under the name uncultured eukaryote. RNAcentral's name for it is "partial 18S ribosomal RNA". It matches the Rfam family "Eukaryotic small subunit ribosomal RNA", at positions 1470 to 1796 of the family's 1831-position model. The record is from RNAcentral.
CCCCUAGACGUUCUGGGCUGCACGCGCGCUACAAUAAUACGCACAGCGAGUAUCACCGAGCUCGAAAGGGCAAGGUAAACAAUAGAAAAGGUACUGUAAUGGUUAUAGAUCCUUGUAAUUAUUGAUCUUCAACGAGGAAUUCCUAGUAAGUAUGUGUCAUCAUCACGCACUGAUUACGUCCCUGCCCUUUGUACACACCGCCCGUCGCUACUACCGAUUGAACGGUUUAGUGAGGCCUCGGAUUGGUCUCGGCCCGCUCUUUACCGGGCGGCGCCGUUGGUCGAGAAGACGCUCGAACUUGAUCGUUUAGAGGAAGUAAAAGUCGUAACA